CAUAGCCUCAGCACCUCCCUGGUGCAUGGGGUGUGAGCCAGUGAGCAGGAUUCUAGAGCCUCCGGGAAUGCUCUGGGACCUUGGGCAUGGAUGCAGCUGUGGGCCGUGUGGGUGCUGGUGGAGACACUCAUGCAUGCUUGGUUGCAGAGUUUCCCUGACUUGGGCCAGGAUGGAGUCCUCCCUGCUCCCCUAUUUAUGUGUGUAUUUAAGCAGGUUUGUCCCCCCAGGCCCUCCCCAGAGCUGCUGAACCACAGAUGUCUGGGUCACCACAGUGGACCAGGAUUCCAGGAUGCCUUGGGGUCUACCCAGACUUUGGAGAGAUUUACACAGGGGCCAGCAGAUUUUUUGUCACAUCCACCUCAAAGGGUCCUAGAGGAAUGAGAGCUGCAGAACUCUCGGAUGUAUGAAGAAACUGGAGAUGAGAAUGCCUUGGCUAUUUGUCUUCUGUUAUGGUUUAUAUCUAGAUGCCCACCCCCCAAGCCUCAUGUGCUCAGGCAGACCUUUUGGAAGGUGACUGGAUCAGGCAGGGUACUAUACUUGUAGGUGGAUUAAUCCACUGAUGUGUUUAUAGCUAAACGUGCUGUUAGGAGGUGGGGUCUGGUUGGA
This 606-nucleotide long non-coding RNA is filed under the name Heterocephalus glaber (naked mole-rat). RNAcentral's name for it is "lncRNA (ENSHGLG00100040935.1)". Lineage: Eukaryota; Metazoa; Chordata; Mammalia; Rodentia; Bathyergidae. The record is from RNAcentral.